UACGAAGGGGGCUAGCGUUGCUCGGAAUUACUGGGCGUAAAGCGCACGUAGGCGGGUCGUUAAGUCGGGGGUGAAAUCCUGGAGCUCAACUCCAGAACUGCCUUCGAAACUGACGAUCUUGAGUUCGGGAGAGGUGAGUGGAACUGCGAGUGUAGAGGUGAAAUUCGUAGAUAUUCGCAAGAACACCAGUGGCGAAGGCGGCUCACUGGCCCGGUACUGACGCUGAGGCACGAAAGCGUGGGGAGCAAACAGG
Molecule: ribosomal RNA, 253 nt
Filed under: uncultured bacterium
Lineage: Bacteria
Description: partial 16S ribosomal RNA
Rfam family: Bacterial small subunit ribosomal RNA
Source: RNAcentral